This 466-nucleotide ribosomal RNA is filed under the name uncultured bacterium. RNAcentral describes it as "partial 16S ribosomal RNA". It matches the Rfam family "Bacterial small subunit ribosomal RNA", at positions 28 to 507 of the family's 1533-position model. The record is from RNAcentral.
GACGAACGCUGGCGGCGCGCCUAACACAUGCAAGUCGAACGGGCGAGCGAGAGCUUGCUUUCUCAAGCGAGUGGCGAACGGGUGAGUAACGCGUGAGGAACCUGCCUCAAAGAGGGGGACAACAGUUGGAAACGACUGCUAAUACCGCAUAAGCCCACGACCCGGCAUCGGGUAGAGGGAAAAGGAGCAAUCCGCUUUGAGAUGGCCUCGCGUCCGAUUAGCUAGUUGGUGAGGUAACGGCCCACCAAGGCGACGAUCGGUAGCCGGACUGAGAGGUUGAACGGCCACAUUGGGACUGAGACACGGCCCAGACUCCUACGGGAGGCAGCAGUGGGGAAUAUUGCACAAUGGGGGAAACCCUGAUGCAGCGACGCCGCGUGGAGGAAGAAGGUCUUCGGAUUGUAAACUCCUGUUGUUGAGGAAGAUAAUGACGGUACUCAACAAGGAAGUGACGGCUAACUACGUG